CUUUCAGAUCUAUGGUUUGAUAUCUUUUAUAUCUUUGGAAAAAUUUGGGGUCAUUAUCUUUUCAAAUUUUUUAUCUGUUCUGUUAUCUCUCUUCUCUCUCUUUGACUCCAGUUUGUGUUGAGUCAUUUGAUAUUGCUCAACAGUUUUUACAUGAACAUUUUUUAUUUGCUUUUUUCUUUCUGUGUUUCAAUUUUGAUAAUUUUAAACCUACAUUCAAUUGACUGAGAUUUCCACCUCAGCUUUGAUAACUAACUCUAAGUAAUUCUUCAUUUAUGAUAUUGUGCUUCUUUACUUCCAGAAUUUCCAUAUGACCCCCCUUUUUAUUUUUACCAUUUCAUCUCUGUUGAUGUUUCCUCAUCUUCUCACACAUGUUGUUGACUUUUUCAACUAGAUCCUUUAAAAACUUUUUUAUUUAGGGGGAGGAGAUAGAGCAAGAUGACCAAAGAGAAGCCUCCAGUGAUUGCCCCCACCAUCCCCCACCAGGAACACCAAAUUGAGCAGCUAUCCACACAAAAGAAACAUGUUCAUAAGAAAAACAAAAAAACCAGCCAAAAAAAGAGAGGGGAGGUACAACUCUGAACAGAAUAAUGCUGGCCUAGAACUUGGGGAUGAUAGCAAACCCCUACGAAACAGACAAAAUUAAACUUAAUAAUGGACUCCAGGUCCCGAUCAGCUUUUGAGCAUGUUCUGAUGUUCUGAAACAAAAGAUGUUCCAGGAUCACCUUGUGCUUCCCUUGACCCAGCCCUGGAAUCAACCAUUUCUCCGUGGGAUCCUGCUUUUGUCUUUUGACUAUGGUGUUUAGACAUGGAAGCCAGGGUGCAGGGUGACGCACCUACAUGGAAUGAUGAGCUGUGGAGUGUGUUUAGGACAGACUCCCACCCAAUGCAGAAAUAUUUUAAAUGGAUUCAUUUUUCAGAUGUGCCUUGCUUCCUCUUUGCCUUCUGCCAUGAUUGUA
RNAcentral lists this long non-coding RNA (956 nucleotides) under Homo sapiens (human). RNAcentral's name for it is "HSALNT0381268". The record is from RNAcentral. Lineage: Eukaryota; Metazoa; Chordata; Mammalia; Primates; Hominidae.